UUUGUUACAGAUUCCAAAAAUUACAUUCAAGAUGAAAUUGAUCUUCGCUCUCCUCGUUCUCUUACCAAUUGUCUUCAGUGCUCCAUCCGAGAGAUUUCUUUUGGAUACAUUUGGUUUGGACUCCGUUUUAAAACAGGUAGAACAGUUUGCUCAUUCUGGUAUGGCUCAUGAUACAUGUGUUGCUGAAUGCCAGAAAUUAGGUGGAUUCUUCUCAUCCUUCUGUGACCCUGCUUGCACAACAGCCCUCGCCCUGGUUCCAGCUGGACAAUAAACGUGUAUUUGCUAACAAUAAUAAGUUAUAUAGGUUUUGUAGUCUUACAAUAAAUUUUAUAAGUAAAUUAG
Long non-coding RNA from Mytilus californianus (California mussel), 342 nucleotides. RefSeq lists it as uncharacterized. Lineage: Eukaryota; Metazoa; Mollusca; Bivalvia; Mytilida; Mytilidae. The record is from RefSeq and is a predicted model, not a curated record. The transcript is spliced from 3 exons.